Molecule: long non-coding RNA, 169 nt
Organism: Melopsittacus undulatus (budgerigar)
Lineage: Eukaryota; Metazoa; Chordata; Aves; Psittaciformes; Psittaculidae
Exons: 3
Source: RefSeq, a predicted model, not a curated record
CUCGUCUGACCUCCACUUUGCAGUCCCUUCUCAGCAACAGAAAGAAAGAAGAAAGUGGACAGAUGGAGCUUCUUCCUCAGCAGUGGUCAGCAUAUCUAAAACACGCACUAGUCCUUGGCCCUCUUUCUCAGAUCCCCGGUCAGAGUUCCCAGCCAUGCCUGCUGCCACC